AAUCCUACGUAGCUUGCUCGUCUACUCGCAUCAACACAAUACAUACAUAGUAUAGCAAAAAUUAACAUUACACCAAGCAUGUAAAUAAAAUACACAGUAAUAAUCUAGACAUUAAAAUGAGAUCAUAGGAACUGGAAUCAUUAAAUUUGGAGUUAUAGAUUUUAAGUUAUGGAUUUUCUAAUGUUUUAUGUGCUUAAUACAAGAUUAUGUGAUAGAUAAAUUUAAAUGAGUCUUUCAUGCCAAAACAGUGUCACUAUUUGAUAAAGGGUAAUAUUAAAAAAUUAUAGGAACUAGAAUGGGCCAAUUUGGAGUUCAUAUGCAUUUUGUACAAUUUAAACAAGUUUCAACAAUUAUUUUUGUAUUAAAAAUACAUUUCUGAUUUAUUUUCUCUGGUUUUAUAAUUCCCUGGAGUGAGCCUCAAAUCCUAGAACACGCAGGGGUCCUAGCGCAAAGUGUCCCGAGACACAGCAAAACCAGGUCGUAGACUGCGGGUUUAUUAACAGCUUUUCCAGGGGCUCUUUUACAAAAUGUUCAAGGCGAAAGGGUAUCGGAUAAUAUCGGCCGUCCGAUUAGAAAUCACGCGUCCAGAUUAAAUCAACAGACGCGCGAACCGGUACGCCAUGGGAUCCGCACGAUCUAAGAUCAACGGUCACCAUUUAAUGAUUACAGAGGUAAGCGCCUAUCGUCCGAUUCGAGAUCGACGACCCGAAUGAAGGGAGUAUCACUGAUCUAAUCAGAACCGUCAACCCGAGAUCCUACGGCCCACAGUUCUUCUUCUCCCCCUAUUCUACACGACGGAGACGCACAGUCCGCCCACGGCGGAGCAUCAUCGGCGGACGCGCAAUUCCACGGCUGGACGCUCCAAACUCAAAAUUGGUCGGUGCCAAACCUAGAGGGGGUGAUGGCGAUUACGGAAAGGGGGUUCUCACCACGGUUGGUAGCGCGGACAGCCCUGGUCACGGGAACCUGCGGAUUCUCCAACACCGGCAAGGAAUUUCGUGAGCUCCGGUGAGCUCCCCUCUUCGAUUGCGCCCACGCCCGACUUCCACGCGACCAGCACUUCCAACUCGAUUGACCCUGACCACCCAGCAGACCUCGGACGGCGACGCAACGCACGGCGACGGUGGCGACGCGAAUCGCUCCCUCGCGGCGGUGUCUGGCGGCGGGAUGGUGGAGAGUUUGGCUCGGCGCAUGCGCGAG
This 1200-nucleotide long non-coding RNA is filed under the name Zea mays. Its description in RNAcentral is "long non-coding RNA (ZMAY_LNC004450)". Lineage: Eukaryota; Viridiplantae; Streptophyta; Magnoliopsida; Poales; Poaceae. The record is from RNAcentral.